Molecule: ribosomal RNA, 401 nt
Filed under: uncultured bacterium
Lineage: Bacteria
Description: bacterial SSU rRNA
Rfam family: Bacterial small subunit ribosomal RNA
Source: RNAcentral
GACGAACGCUGGCGGCGUGCUUAAUACAUGCAAGUCGAGGGGCAGCAGGGGUAGCAAUACUCGCUGGCGACCGGCAAACGGGUGCGGAACACGUACGCAAUCUACCCAAAACUGAUGAAUAGCCCUCCGAAAGGAGGAUUAAUACAUCGUAACAUUAUAGAGUGGCAUCACUUUAUGAUUAUAGCUCUGGCGGUUUUGGAUGAGCGUGCGGCUGAUUAGANAGUUGGCAGGGUAACGGCCUACCAAGUCUACGAUCAGUAACUGGUGUGAGAGCACGACCAGUCACACGGGCACUGAGACACGGGCCCGACUCCUACGGGAGGCAGCAGUAAGGAAUAUUGGUCAAUGGACGCAAGUCUGAACCAGCCAUGCCGCGUGAAGGGAUGAAGAUCCUCUGGAUU